AAAAUUUGGUUUUGGAUACCAAAUUAUGAAUAAUACUGUCCUGACUGGAUACUAAAAAAUUUCCUUUGAUGGGCUCCUGAAAGUUUUUGAAUAUUAUCAGUUUACCACCAGUCUUUCCUCAAUGAGGACUAGCAUAUAGAAGUUUGUUGAAGGAUUAUGUGGAUUAAUUGUUUAUUUGUUGUUGACUGUGGAGUCUCCUCAGUUGUUAUUGUAAUUUGUAACAGUGAGUGUUAUGGAAACUUAUUUGGAUGGGAUAUCCCCUUUGGAUACUGAGAAAAAAUAUAAAUUUCAGACCCUGAUGUAAAUGGUGCUUAUCUGAUUGUUCAUGUUACAAACUGUAAUUAUAUUUAGUAGCUAUAUUCAGUAUUCUCAGGGGGCAUAUAAAGGCUAUAAAUAAAGCCCUGGAGUCAUGUUUGUGCUUUUAACCCCUUGGAGUUCUCCUUUAAUGUCUGUAUAUAUAUAUUACCAUAUAACCCAAUAAAUCUGUUAAAAAAAAGAAAGAUUCGUUGAUGUAAAUCAAAAUUUCAUCAGUGUUUCCUGGGCAUUCUGAUGAGCUCUGAUAUAGAGCGAAACAAGCAUAUAUUUAGCAAUUGUCCUCCGUCUUGAAGAGACAUGAUGAAGUAAUCUGAUCACCAGAAUUGUUGAAGCUAAUAUUAGAUCAUUCAGUGUCACAAGAAUAUCAUCAUUUAAUGUCAAUAUGAGAGUAAUAUCAAUGAAUUCAUACUUCCAGUUCAUAAUUUCAAAACAUACAUUUUUAUAACACAAAAAAGUUGAAUAUAAUCUUAGCGUCUCGUACUCUCGUCACUGUCAAUCUAUUGAACUCUUCUGUUGUUUAUAUUAAAACAGCAUCCAAAAUUAUCUCCAUAGCGCGCACGAGCUUGAACAAAAGCUGUUUAUCCAGCUUUUGCACGGUCAAAAAUUUCGCACUUGGCUUUGGCACGAAGACAGGAACUGCAACCACAUUCUCAAUCACACUUGUUUCGAAUUUCGUCAAGCGAAAAGCUUUCCCCAAGUGCUUCUGUCAUAAUGACAACAACAACUCUGGCAACAUGUUUCGAGGGAUUGAUACCACAUGAACUAUUUUCGUGAUUAGACACAAACUCCAAAGGUAAACACUAAACACAAAUUAUUCGAACUCACACCUUCGGGAUUUCGGUUCGCCGCCCCAGCUGUUGUAUAUAGCAAGUCACACAAGGUUCAAAGCGGCCUGUUUAUUCACAAUGUUUACAGUUAAACAGUUACAGUAUAAGAUUGUGUUAUUGUGUACAAAAAUUUCCAGUGUAGAAAUGUACAAUAAAUGCAGCGAAGUAUUGUAAAACAUUGCACUCCUCGGUCACAAAUUAUGUGGAAUGUUACUUUGAACUCGUCAUAUACUUCAUCUUAUAUAAUUAAUGUGGAUCAAAACAAAAAACGUAAACAAAGUCCAGCGCAUGCGCAGAUGCGACUUUAACCUACCUUUA
Molecule: non-coding RNA, 1460 nt
Organism: Paramuricea clavata
Lineage: Eukaryota; Metazoa; Cnidaria; Anthozoa; Malacalcyonacea; Plexauridae
Source: the annotation of a GenBank genome assembly